Molecule: ribosomal RNA, 483 nt
Filed under: uncultured bacterium
Lineage: Bacteria
Description: partial 16S ribosomal RNA
Rfam family: Bacterial small subunit ribosomal RNA
Source: RNAcentral
AUUGAACGCUGGCGGCAGGCCUAACACAUGCAAGUCGAGCGGAUGAAGGGAGCUUGCUCCUGGAUUCAGCGGCGGACGGGUGAGUAAUGCCUAGGAAUCUGCCUGGUAGUGGGGGAUAACGUCCGGAAACGGGCGCUAAUACCGCAUACGUCCUGAGGGAGAAAGUGGGGGAUCUUCGGACCUCACGCUAUCAGAUGAGCCUAGGUCGGAUUAGCUAGUUGGUGGGGUAAAGGCCUACCAAGGCGACGAUCCGUAACUGGUCUGAGAGGAUGAUCAGUCACACUGGAACUGAGACACGGUCCAGACUCCUACGGGAGGCAGCAGUGGGGAAUAUGGGACAAUGGGCGAAAGCCUGAUCCAGCCAUGCCGCGUGUGUGAAGAAGGUCUUCGGAUUGUAAAGCACUUUAAGUUGGGAGGAAGGGCAGUAAGUUAAGACCUUGCUGUUUUGACGUUACCAACAGAAUAAGCACCGGCUAACUUCGG